This 409-nucleotide ribosomal RNA is filed under the name uncultured Fottea. RNAcentral describes it as "bacterial LSU rRNA". It matches the Rfam family "Bacterial large subunit ribosomal RNA", at positions 2078 to 2485 of the family's 2925-position model. The record is from RNAcentral. Lineage: Eukaryota; Viridiplantae; Streptophyta; Zygnematophyceae; Zygnematales.
GGACAGAGAGACCCUAUGAAGCUUUACUGUUCCCUGGGAUGGGCUUUGGGCCCCUCUUGCGCAGCUUACGUGGAAGGCAGCGACGGCACCCUCCCGGGGGUGCCCGAGCCAACAAUGAGACACCACCCUAUAGGGGCUAGGAUUCUAACCUUAGGCCUACAAGAAGGAUAGGGGACAGUCCCAGGCAGACAGUUUCUAUGGGGCGUAGGCCUCCCAAAGUGUAACGGAGGCGUGCAAAGGUUUCCUCAGGCUGGACGGAAAUCAACCCUCGAGUGCAAAGGCAAAAGGGAGCUUGACUGCGAGACCCACACGUCGAGCAGGGACGAAAGUCGGCCUUAGUGAUCCGACGGUGCCGAGUGGAAGGGCCGUCGCUCAACGGAUAAAAGUUACUCUAGGGAUAACAGGCUGA